GUUGCAGUUUCAUUUUGUGACCGACACUAACGGGUAGUAACGGGUUAACAAAGUCGUUUUUCUGGCCUUUUACUCGUUUUUGCGAUCACAAAUUCUGAAAUUGCA
This 105-nucleotide microRNA precursor is filed under the name Drosophila willistoni. Its description in RNAcentral is "microRNA dwi-mir-274 precursor". Its record names the gene dwi-mir-274. It matches the Rfam family "mir-274 microRNA precursor family". The record is from miRBase by way of RNAcentral. Lineage: Eukaryota; Metazoa; Arthropoda; Insecta; Diptera; Drosophilidae.